This 412-nucleotide ribosomal RNA is filed under the name uncultured bacterium. RNAcentral's name for it is "bacterial SSU rRNA". It matches the Rfam family "Bacterial small subunit ribosomal RNA", at positions 355 to 793 of the family's 1533-position model. The record is from RNAcentral.
UGGGGAAUCUUGCGCAAUGGGCGAAGGCCUGACGCAGCGACGCCGCGUGCGGGAAGAAGGCCUUCGGGUUGUAAACCGCUUUCAGGAGGGAAGCGGUACCUCCAGAAGAAGCCCCGGCAACUACGUGCCAGCAGCCGCGGUAAUACGUAGGGGGCAAGCGUUGUCCGGAAUUAUUGGGCGUAAAGAGCUCGUAGGCGGUCCUUUAAGUCGGAAGUGAAAUCUCAAGGCUCAACCUUGAAACCGCUUUCGAUACUGGAGGACUUGAGGCAGGUAGGGGAGAGUGGAAUUCCUGGUGUAGCGGUGAAAUGCGCAGAUAUCAGGAGGAACACCGUGGGCGAAGGCGGCUCUCUGGGCCUGUCUAACGCUGAGGAGCGAAAGCGUGGGGAGCAAACAGGAUUAGAUACCCGAGUAG